This 253-nucleotide ribosomal RNA is filed under the name uncultured bacterium. Its description in RNAcentral is "partial 16S ribosomal RNA". It matches the Rfam family "Bacterial small subunit ribosomal RNA", at positions 524 to 776 of the family's 1533-position model. The record is from RNAcentral.
GACGAACCGUGCAAACGUUAUUCGGAAUCACUGGGCAUAAAGGGCGCGUAGGCGGCUUCCUAAGUCAGGGGUGAAAUCCGGCAGCUCAACUGUCGCAGUGCCUUUGAUACUGGGAAGCUCGAGGGAGGUAGGGGUCUGUGGAACUUCCGGUGGAGCGGUGAAAUGCGUUGAUAUCGGAAGGAACGCCGGUGGCGAAAGCGACGGACUGGACCUUUUCUGACGCUGAGGCGCGAAAGCCAGGGGAGCAAACGGG